UAGGUAGUUUCAUGUUGUUGGGGUUGGCUUUUAACUCGGCAACAAGAAACUGCCUUAA
This 58-nucleotide microRNA precursor is filed under the name Anolis carolinensis (green anole). RNAcentral's name for it is "Aca-Mir-196-P4_pre stem-loop". It matches the Rfam family "mir-196 microRNA precursor family", at positions 10 to 68 of the family's 77-position model. Rfam says of the family: In many species the miRNA appears to be expressed from intergenic regions in HOX gene clusters. The hairpin precursors (represented here) are predicted based on base pairing and cross-species conservation -- their extents are not known. RNAcentral also lists the same sequence under 1 other name. The record is from RNAcentral. Lineage: Eukaryota; Metazoa; Chordata; Lepidosauria; Squamata; Anolidae.